GCCCAAUCCCUCAGCCUAUACACUAACACUGGACAUAUACUGAGAAGAUUAGCAUGGGCCCUGCCCAAAGAUGACACACAAAUUCAUGAAGCAUUCCACAUAUUU
Molecule: small nuclear RNA, 105 nt
Organism: Dipodomys spectabilis (banner-tailed kangaroo rat)
Lineage: Eukaryota; Metazoa; Chordata; Mammalia; Rodentia; Heteromyidae
Source: RefSeq, a predicted model, not a curated record